This 22-nucleotide microRNA is filed under the name Malus domestica (apple). RNAcentral describes it as "mdm-miR477b". Its record names the gene mdm-miR477b. The record is from miRBase by way of RNAcentral. Lineage: Eukaryota; Viridiplantae; Streptophyta; Magnoliopsida; Rosales; Rosaceae.
ACUCUCCCUCAAGGGCUUCGAC